GACGAACGCUGGCGGCGUGCUUAACACAUGCAAGUCGAACGGUGAAGCUCCAGCUUGCUGGAGUGGAUCAGUGGCGAACGGGUGAGUAACACGUGAGCAACCUGCCCCUGACUCUGGAAUAAGCGCUGGAAACGGCGUCUAAUACUGGAUACGAGAAGGGUCCGCAUGGGCACUUUCUGGAAAGUUUUUCGGUUGGGGAUGGGCUCGCGGCCUAUCAGCUUGUUGAUGAGGUAAUGGCUCACCAAGGCGACGACGGGUAGCCGGCCUGAGAGGGCGACCGGCCACACUGGGACUGAGCCACCGCCCACACUCCUACGGGAGGCAGCAGUGAGGAAUAUUGCACACUGGGCGAAAGCCUGAUGCAGCGACGCCGCGUGAGGGAUGUCGGCCUUCGGGUUAUAAACCUCUUUCCGAAGGGAAGAAGCGAAAGUGACGGUACCUGCAGAAGAAGCACCGGCUAACUACGUG
Molecule: ribosomal RNA, 468 nt
Filed under: uncultured bacterium
Lineage: Bacteria
Description: partial 16S ribosomal RNA
Rfam family: Bacterial small subunit ribosomal RNA
Source: RNAcentral